UACGGAGGGUGCGAGCGUUGUCCGGAAUCACUGGGCGUAAAGGGCGCGUAGGCGGCCUGAUAAGUAGGGGGUGAAAUCCUGCGGCUUAACCGCAGGGCUGCCUUCUAAACUGUCAGGCUUGAGCACAGUAGAGGCAGGUGGAAUUCCCGGUGUAGCGGUGGAAUGCGUAGAGAUCGGGAGGAACACCGGUGGCGAAGGCGGCCUUCUGGACGGUGACUGACGCUGAGGCGCGAAAGCGUGGGGAGCAAACGGG
Molecule: ribosomal RNA, 253 nt
Filed under: uncultured bacterium
Lineage: Bacteria
Description: partial 16S ribosomal RNA
Rfam family: Bacterial small subunit ribosomal RNA
Source: RNAcentral